Molecule: long non-coding RNA, 9370 nt
Filed under: Volvox carteri
Lineage: Eukaryota; Viridiplantae; Chlorophyta; Chlorophyceae; Chlamydomonadales; Volvocaceae
Description: long non-coding RNA (VCAR_LNC000988)
Source: RNAcentral
UUGCACAACAAGCCGUGCAACGAGGAGCAUAUUCGACAAUCACGGAAGGUCAUCAAUUUGCUGAUUAAGGACGUGAAGGACCUUCAUCUGCUGAUGGUCACAGGUGCCGUAAAUGCAAAGGAGGCUUGGGAUGCCUUGGGCUCGAUGUUCACUGCAAACAACAACGCCCGCAAGGUGGCUCUACGCCAAGAAUUCAGCCAUGUUAAGAUGGUCGACGGCGAGCCACUUCCGAAGUACUUUGCGUGUGCGAGGCAGCUUCAAAUUGACUUAUUGGGAGUCGGCCACAUGAUUAGUGACUCCGAGCUGGCAUAUAUUGUACUUGUUGGUCUACCCAGUCGGUACAGCGUGGUUAGCAUCAUGGUUAUGAUGGCGAUUUGGACAUGGCGAGCAUCACCUCAAAGCUUCUGGCUAUCGAGACGGCUAACGGUGGGUAGGGCAAGCCUACCGAGCUGACAGCUUUUGUGACUGUCGGCAGUUCGAUGUUCUGUGUUUCGAGUUUUGGUUAUGGCAGCCAGGGGCCGGCUAGCAACAGCUUGGGAAACAGUCGGAAGCAGAUCGUCUGCUACUACUGCAACAAGGCUGGGCACGCAUCAAGGACUGCAGGCAGCUUAAAGUGCUGAAGCAGUUGUCCAUUUCCGGCAAUAGUAAAAGUAAGGGUGGUGGCAGCAGUGGCGGCAGUGGUGCUAGCAGCAGUAAGUCUGGUUCAGGAGGAUCAGCCAGGGGACCAGGAGUCCCAAGGCAGGUCACAUUCAUGGCUUACAAUGGUGAGCGUCCGAAGGGAUGGUUUCUGGACUCAGCAUCAACACAUCACAUCACCUACCACUGCUCUGAGUUGCUUAACAUGCACUUGUUGGAGCUGUGGGAGUGCUUCAACAUCAUGGGCAUCAAGGGUCAAGCUUUGCAUCCAACGGUGGUCGGCUCACUCAUUAUUUGGUCAAACAUCAACUACAAAAAGGCCAUUUUUUUCAAGAAGGACUACAUCAACGAGGAGUCAAGGUCUUGUCAGUUCACAUCAUCGAUGAUCAUGGUGGUAGUGUUGUCUUCAGUGGCAGACGUGUUGUACACCUUAACCUAUAGGCACCGUGAUCAUUGUGUUGAGGUAAUGGUCCUCUCCCAACUCGUGUGGUUGUCGACCAGGGGAUUUGGCCCCGGGUCUGUGACUGACUAUUGGGGGAGACUUACCCCAGAACUUUAUGGGACUACCGAUGCAUAUCCGGUAGCUAAGUGAUAGACAUUUGGCCAGGGCAACCGCCUGGGUAUGCAUCCAGAUAGUGUUGUCGCAGCAUAGGUAUAUUGCGCAGCUGUUGGAGCGUCAUAGGAUGAUUGACGCCAAGCCGAGGUCUACCCCUUUGCCUCCGGGCUUUAGGUACACUCCUAAGGGGGACGGAGAGGAGCUGCUGGGCAAUCCCACCGAGUAUAGGGCUUUGGUGGGAGAAUUGAACUAUCUGGCGACGAACACGCGGCCUGACAUUUCAUAUGCAUUGAGCGUUUUGUCCCGGCAUAUGGCCGCACCCACGAAGACUGCCAUGAACUUAGCAACUGGCGUUCUGCGUUACCUGGCGGGGACUCGCGAACUAGGAUUGCGUUUUGGGGGUGUUGGCGACGUUGCUAUGUCCGGGUACAGUGAUUCUGACUGGGCAGGAGACCCAGUUACGCGGCGUUCUACGUCCGGUUACGUAUUCACUCUUAAUGGGGCUGCGAUUAGCUGGAGCAGCCAACUUCAACGUACUGUGGCGGCUUCGUCGGUGGAGGCUGAGUACCAAGCUACAGCGGCGGCUGUUCGUGAGGCUUUGUGGCUUCGCAAGCUGAUGGUUGAUUUGAGCUUGCCUGAGAGCGCGGUGAAAAUCCAGAUAGACUCCCAGGGGGCGCUUAGCUUGGGAAACAACCCGAUUACGUCUGCUCGGUCGAAGCACAUCGACGUGCAGCAUCACAUAGUGCGUGAGAGGGUGAAUAGCGGUGAGGUGCAGUUGGAAUAUUGCCCUACGGAGUGGAUGGUUGCGGAUGUACUAACGAAGGCUCUGGGCGAGGUGAAGUUCAAACGUUGCCAAGAUGCUAUGGGCCUUGUGUGAAGUGUGCAGGUGAACUUGGUACUCGUUGGGAUACGGCCCGAGGGGGCGUGUUGAGGAAACGGUCCUCUCCCAACUCGUGUGGUUGUCGACCAGGGGAUUUGACCCCGGGUCUGCGCCUGACUAAUGGGGAAGACUUACCCCAGAACCUUAUAGGGCUACCGAUGCAUAUCCGGUAGCUAAGUGAUAGACAUUAGGGCACCGUCUGGACGGCGCAGUGAGAUCGCGGAAUGUACGUGCAGUUAGAUCGCGGAAUGUAUGAGUUUUCCGCUAGCGCCGGUAUUUAGGGCGGUGACAGCGCCUAUUAGUUUAUCUCACAACGAUCGGUAUUCCUACCAGGAAUCUCCUCAAGUCCUGCCGAACGCUUAUAAUACUCUUUACAUAACUUGUAACGUUUUAUCGUGCUAAAUAUCUUCGCCGCCGGCAAUUCUUCCGAGAUAACAAUCAGCGUUAGCCGUCACCGUCGCCAAUUCUCCAAUAAACACGACCAGUGACAGUGCGACCAGGUUCGUUUCGCUACCAUUCGCCAGGGCGUUUACACUCUCUAACUGGGUACCUAGUUCCCGCCAUUUCCACAUCAGGCUGAUUGAUUCCUUGCCCGUUCGCACUGCUGGAAGGUCCAGCCCCAGCCGGCGCCCCCUCGCCACCCAAAUAAGGCGAUCCUUCGCCGACAGUAUUGCCUGAUGUUCCUUCGCCAGCCCUAGGCAGCGACCCCUCACCAGGCAAGUUAGUGUGAACAUCCUCCUCCUCAUCGGCAUCGGACCCAUAAUCGGAGUCCCCGGCAUCAUGCCGCCGGCCGACAUUAGACUCAUCAAAGCGGACGUUAGAAACUACGGCAAUAAUGCCAUCCUCGUACAGCACACGGUACUGUCCUCCGUUCCCGUAUCCGACAAGUAUUCCACGCCUGCUCACCGGAUCGGACUUGUCGCGUUUGACGUCAGGUACAUGGACGUAGGCGACGCACCCCAAAAACUCGAAGAUGACCGACGUUAGGACGGACGUUGAAGAAAGCUUCAUACGGCGUGACAGUUGACCCAGCAGUUGGCGACACAUUCCUGAUGUAAUUGGCUGUCGCCAACACUUCCGCCCAUAAUGACUUAGGUAGACCGGACUCCACAAGCAUAGCCUUGGUUUUGUCUAGGAGAGUGCGAUUCAAACGUUCCGCAGCUCCGUUCUGCUCAGGGGUGUAGCCUACCGUAGUUCCGUGUACAAUACCCCUGGACGCGAAAAAGCCCUUCGUGCGAGUAUUAAUGAACUCCCCGCCACGAUCCGUACGCACCUCCUUAACCUGCCUGCCAGAAGCGCGCUCCAGUUCCGCUAUCAUUACCACCAUCUUCUGAUAGACCUCCUCCUUGGUUGCUGUAAACGCAACAGCUGAAAGACCAGUAUGGUCGUCAAGCAGAGUUGUCACGCAACGUGAACCACGAGGCGAAGGUUUUGGCAUAGUCCACACACAUCCAGUCCACACACAUCCAUGUGGAUUAAUGCUAGUGGCUGUGCUGCUUUAUGCCCUGUUAGCGGAAAAGGACCACGUGUAUGCUUUGCAAGAACGCAAGUCUCACACACACACGCGCUGGCUGAUUGUAUGCUGUGUCGGUCAAUAUCGAACCCAGUUACCAUAUUAUGACGCAGCAACGCCUCAAGGUUGCUGUAUCCCAAGUUGCCAUACCGUCGGUGCCAAAGUGCUGCACGUUCAGCUCCGAUACCCACGGCAGCACACACUGCAUCACCACCAGAAGGUAUCCUGUUGAUGUUGAUGUUGUUACAGGGUGGUUAAGCUUCACCAGUGGCCUCCUUCCCGAGGCAAUUCCCUGCUCUCCCCUGCAAGAGGGGCACCCAAAGCCAUUCACCCCAUCCGACUUCAGAGUGUACUCUUUGAGUUUGGCAACUCACCACCAGCAUCCAACCAAACCUAGCGGAUCAACGGCGUGUCAACUUAGUUCCUGGUCAGCUCGCGAGUUGAUUUUAUCACGUCCUAUACCGUCCACAAGAUGGGGGGCCACCUCCCAUUUCAUCACCUCUCAAACACCCCGAGAGGUCGGCAGGCGGAUUUGAACCCGGACGCGCCGGGACGUGACGGGAGCAGAAGCCAGACCUUAACCUCUGCCAGCCGCCUGCCUGAUGUUGUAUGCUACGAACGCUACCUGACGCGGAACACCUUGCCCCCUAGCUGAUUCACCGGAUCCUGGCUUGCUGCCGCUAGCUACGCUGCCACUAGCUCCGUUGCCACUGUUGCUGUAGCCACCCUUAUAUCCAGAUUUUGACGACUGCUUGAGCGCUUUAAGCUGCCUGCAGUCCUUUACCACGUGCCCAUGUUGAGGAAACGGUCUUCUCCCAACUCGUGUGGUUGUCGACCAGGGGAUUUGACCCCAGGUCUGUGCCUGACUAAUGGGGAAGACUUACCCCCAGAACUUUAAAGGGCUACCGAUGCAUAUCCGGUAGCUAAGUAAUAGACAUUUGGGCACCGUCAGGACGGCGCAGAGAGAUCGCGGAAUGUACGUGCAGUUAGAUCGCGGAAUGUACGAGUUUUCCGAUAGCGCCGGUAUUUAGGGCGGUGACUGCGCUUAUUUGUUUAUCUCACAACGAUCGGUAUUCCUCAAAGGAAUCUCCUCAAGUCCUGCCUAACGCAAUUUACAGUUUUUUACAUUACUUGAAAUGUUACAGAGUGGGAGGCUUCUGGGCCGCUUUACCACAUUGUCAGUUCUACGAUCAUUUAUCACCUUAUAGCACCAUCCACCACUACCACACUGUCUUCGCCAUACGAACUGUAAGUCCAAGGCGGCGGAUCCAGCCUUCAGAGACCCGUCCUCAUCCAUUCACCCGGAGGGUUCGGCAAUCGCCACCAAUCCAGCGUGCGAAUCUGGUCCAUCAACUGUGACCUCAACUCCACAUCUCAGCAGCUAGCCAUAAUCUCGCGCUCCCGACAAAUUCGGGGAUCUCCCCAGGAAUCGAACCCUAAGAUAUUGAACACGAUAAACUGAUACAAGUAAUGUAAGAAGUAGUAUUAUGCGUUAGGCAGGACUUUAGGAGAUUCCUUUGAGGAAUACCGAUCGUUGUGAGAUAAACAAAUAAGCAAACAUCUAUGUGAACUAGUGCUAGUGGCUGAGCUGCUUUGUGUCCUGUUAACGGAAAAGGACCUCGUGUCUGUUUUGCAUAAACGCAGGUCUCACAAACACCCGUGCUGGCUUUUUGGAAACUGUGCUGGUCGACGUCAAAUCCCAUUACCAUAUUGUGCGCAGCAACACCUCGAGGUUGCUGUAGCCAAGAUGUCCGUAACACCGAUGCCAAAGUGUUGCACGCUCCGUCUUGGAAUUCACAGCGGUGCACGUUGUACCAUGUCCGUUGUCACAGUAGCUCGUAUUCUGCGUCCUCCUGAUGGUGCCUGUACUUCCACCUCGAUAGCAAAUGGGGUAGAGAUCACCGUCCCGUUCACCGGUCAACACUAAAUGAUUUUGCAAGUAUACCUGUACUUGACCGUCACCGAAGACGACGCUACCUCCGCGAUCGUCGAUGAUACGGACGGACAAAAUCUUUACCAUCGCCUCCUCGUCAACGUAGACCCUUUUAAAUGUGAUGGCUUGAUUGUCGUUGACAUUAGAUCGAAUGGUAAGCGAUCCAACCUCCGUCGGACGCAGUGAUUGACCCUUAAUGCCCACAAUGCUGAAGCGUUCCCAAGGCCCCAACACACGUGCAUUGUGUAGUUCGGAUCGGUCGUAAGUGACGGGGUGAGUAGAUGCUGAGUCCAGAAACCAUUCCGUCGGACGCUCGCUGUUGUAUGCCACGAACGCUACCUGCCGCGGAACUCCUGGCCCCCUAGCUGAUCCACCGGAUCCUGGAUUGCUGCCGCUAGCUCCGCUGCCACUGUUGUUGUAGCCACCCUUAUUGACGACUGCUUGAGCGCUUUAAGCUGCCUGCCGUCCUUUACCACUUGCCCAGGCUUAUUACAGUAGUAGCAGAUGAGUUGUUUCCGACUGUGUCCCGAGCUGCUGCUAGCCGGCCCCCGGCUGCCAUAACCAGAAUUAGAAGCGCCGAAAGUCGAACCGCCGAGAGACGUGAAGGCUGCCGACUCGGUAGGCUUGUCCGACCUACCGUUAGCCGUCUCGAUAGCGAGAAGCUUUGCUGUGACGCUCGCCAUGUCCAAAUCGCCGUCACGCAUCAGUAGUGUUGUCGUCACCACGCUGUACCGAUUGGGUAGACCAACUAAGACGGUAUACGCCAGCUCGGAGUCGUUGAUUACGUGGCCGAAACCCAACAAGUCCGUUUGCAGCUGCCUCGCACGUGCAUAUACUUCGAAAGUGGCUCACAGUCAACCAUCUUGAAGCGGCUGAAUUCUUGGCGUAGAGCCACCUUGCGGGCGUUGUUGUUGGCAGCGAACAUCAAGUUCAAGGCAUCCCAAGUCUUCGCGUUGGCUGCACCGGUGACCAUCGGCAAAUGGUGAUCCUUAACGUUCUUGAUAAGCAGAUUGAUGACCUUCCGUGAUUGAUGAAUCUGCUCCUCGUUGCACGGCUCGGCGAGCAAAGACUGCUCAAGCCGAAGCUCCAUGCACAUCGCACUAAACCGUCGGUGUUACGGACAUUUGGGCUACAGCAACCUCGAGGCGUUGCUGCACCACAAUAUGGUAAUGGGAUUUGACGUCGUCCAGCACAGCUUUCAGAAAGCGAGUACGUGUGUUUGUGAGACCUGCGUUUUUGCAAAACAGACACGAGGUCCUUUUCCGCUGACAGGGCACAAGGCAGCCCAGCCACUAGCAUUAGUUCACAUGGAUGCGUGUGGACCUAUGCCUGAACCUUCGCCUAGUGGUUCUCGCUACGUGACAACUCUGCUUGACGUCCAUACCGGUCUUUCAGCAGUUGCGUUUACAGCGACCAAGGAGGAGGUCUAUCUGAAGAUGGUGGUAAUGAUAGCGGACCUGGAGCGCGCUUCUGGCAGGCAGGUUAAGGAGGUUCGUACGGAUCGUGGCGGGGAGUUCAUUAAUACUCGCACGAAGGGCUAUUUCGCGUCCAGGGGUAUUGUUCAUGGAACUACGGUAGGCUACACCCCUGAGCAGAACGGAGCAGCGGAACGUUUGAAUCGCAAGACACAAGUUAUGCAAGUCUUGGUAUCUCAUCUUAGGAUGGAUCGGUAUUCCUUAACAGGAAUCUCCUAAAGUCUUCUUUCCGUUCACCAUUAACCCACAGACUUUAACCCUUAUGUCGCGACCAGUCUCCUUGCGUUCAUAUUCUUAACAGGGAUCGCUGCCUAGGGCUGGCGAAGGGAUACCAGGUAGCACCGUCCGCGAGGGAUCGCCGCACUUGGGUGGCGAGGGGGCGCCGGCUGGGGCUGAACCAUCCAGCAGUGUAUUGAAGAAUCGACUGCGGUGGCAGCUGGCGGCGACUGUUAUUUCGGAAAGGAAUACCGGCGUGUUCGUCGCCAGAUAGUUCAAUCCUCCCACCAAAGCCCUAUACUCCGUGGGAUUGCCCAGCAGCUCCUCUCCGUCCCCCUUAGGAGUGUACCUAAAGCCCGGAGGGUAGAUCUCGGCUUGGCGUCAACCAUCCUAUGACGCUCCAACAGCUGCUCAAUGUACCUAUGCUGCGACAACACUAACUCACCCGACUUCUCCCUCCUAAUCUCCAUGCCCCCAAACACCUUCGCUUCUCCAAGGUCACGCACCCUUAAGACCUUCACAAUUGCGGCUUUAAUUUCCCGGACCAUUUCCGGGUCUUCUGACGCAACAAUGGGGUCAUCUACGUGCACCAAAGCAAUCCCCACGCUCGUCCAUAAUAAUGAACAUCGCCGGAUCAGACUUCGAAGGAUAAAGACCCAGCUUGGCGAACUCUGCUGAUAUCUUUUCAUACCAGCAACGGGGUGCCUGCUUCAAACCGUAAAUAGACCUCUGCAGCUUGCACGCAAGCGACCGGUCACUGGAUACAUACCCAGGUGGUUGCUGUAUCCACAACUCCUCCUUCAACUCGCUGUUCAAAAAUGCAGUAGACACAUCGAGCUGGUGUACCGUCAUGUUCCGCGCUGCGGCAACUGCUAAUAAAGCACGUAAUGACGAACCGAGGUAGGGGCAAACAACUCCCCAUAAUCAAUCCCCUCGCGUUGCUCGAAACCCUUCGCAACCAAUCGCGCCUUAAAACGCUCCACGCUGCCGUCAUCGUUGUACUUAACCUUAUACACCCAACGACACGGCAAUAAAUGAGUACCAGGAGGUGGCGUCUUCAGCUCCCAAGUACUGUUAGCCAUCUGGGCGGCGAUCUCCUCGUCCAUCGCACGCCGCCAAUCGUCUGCAUGAAGACUUGCAAUGGCUUCCGCAAACGAAUUCGGUUCAGGAAUAACAGCAGAGAAAGUAGCAUUAACGACCAGUAACAGUGCGACCAGGUUCCGCCACCAUUCGCCAGGGCGUUUACGUUCUCUAACUGGAUACCUAGUUCCCGCCAUUUCCACAUCAGGCUAAUUACUUCCUUGCCCGUUCGCACUGCUGGAAGGUCCAGCCCCAGCCGGCGCCCCCUCGCCACCCAAAUGCGGCGAUCCCUCGCCGACAGUAUUGCCUGAUGUUGUUGAGGAAACGGUCCUCUCCCAACUCGUGUGGUUGUCGACCAGGGGAUUUGACCCCGGGUCUGCGCCUGACUAAUGGGGAAGACUUACCCCAGAACCUUAUAGGGCUACCGAUGCAUAUCCGGUAGCUAAGUGAUAGACAUUAGGGCACCGUCUGGACGGCGCAGUGAGAUCGCGGAAUGUACGUGCAGUUAGAUCGCGGAAUGUACGAGUUUUCCGCUAGCGCCGGUAUUUAGGGCGGUGACAGCGCCUAUUAGUUUAUCUCACAACGAUCGGUAUUCCUACCAGGAAUCUCCUCAAGUCCUGCCGAACGCUAACAAUAUUCUUUACAUUACUUGUAACAGUUUAUCGUGCUAAAUAUCUUCGCCACCGGCCCUCCCCCCCCUCCCGGAGUGCCUAUGCCCCGGAGUGGAAGUUGGCUAACGAACUACGGCGAGGCCAGGAACACCAAUUGAGUUAAUUAUUGCUUUUCUUUAUAGCUUAAAUUUUGCACAAAGCGGUCAUACUUUGGUAGAUGGAAACUGCGACUGCCGGACAGAGGUCACACAUUUACAUAAUGCCAAAUGAACGGACUACAGAAACUGCAUAGCUAAAGAAAAGUUAUUGCUUUAACUAGUUUAGCAAAGAGCUUAACUAGUUUAGCAAGAGCGCGGGCACCUCCGAUUUCGACCUCAGGUUGGCCGAUGAUGAUGACAGGACUUCUCGCUUUGUACCCAUCCAAAAGCACCGAAACGCAUAGGAUUGUUGUGGAAUCUAGCACAUGCAAG